Molecule: transfer RNA, 75 nt
Filed under: Cordylochernes scorpioides
Lineage: Eukaryota; Metazoa; Arthropoda; Arachnida; Pseudoscorpiones; Chernetidae
Description: tRNA-Thr
Source: RNAcentral
UGUCCAGGGAUGGGAAACGAACCCACAGUGUUCUGCUUACCGGGUAGAUGACGUGUCCACUAGGCUACCCUGUAC